GGUUAAGUUAGAAAGGGCGCACGGUGGAUGCCUUGACACUAGGAGUCGAUGAAGGACGGGACUAACGCCGAUAUGCUUCGGGGAGCUGUAAGUAAGCUUUGAUCCGAAGAUUUCCGAAUGGGGAAACCCACCAUACGUAAUGGUAUGGUAUCCUUAUCUGAAUACAUAGGGUAAGGAAGACAGACCCAGGGAACUGAAACAUCUAAGUACCUGGAGGAAGAGAAAGCAAAUGCGAUUUCCUGAGUAGCGGCGAGCGAAACGGAACAUAGCCCAAACCAAGAGGCUUGCCUCUUGGGGUUGUAGGACAUUCUAUACGGAGUUACAAAGGAACGAGGUAGACGAAGCGACCUGGAAAGGUCCGUCGUAGAGGGUAACAACCCCGUAGUCGAAACUUCGUUCUCUCUUGAAUGUAUCCUGAGUACGGCGGAACACGUGAAAUUCCGUCGGAAUCUGGGAGGACCAUCUCCCAAGGCUAAAUACUCCCUAGUGAUCGAUAGUGAACCAGUACCGUGAGGGAAAGGUGAAAAGCACCCCGGAAGGGGAGUGAAAGAGAUCCUGAAACCGUGUGCCUACAAAUAGUCAGAGCCCGUUAACGGGUGAUGGCGUGCCUUUUGUAGAAUGAACCGGCGAGUUACGAUCCCGUGCGAGGUUAAGCUGAAGAGGCGGAGCCGCAGCGAAAGCGAGUCUGAAUAGGGCGUUUAGUACGUGGUCGUAGACCCGAAACCAGGUGAUCUACCCAUGUCCAGGGUGAAGUUCAGGUAACACUGAAUGGAGGCCCGAACCCACGCACGUUGAAAAGUGCGGGGAUGAGGUGUGGGUAGCGGAGAAAUUCCAAUCGAACCUGGAGAUAGCUGGUUCUCCCCGAAAUAGCUUUAGGGCUAGCCUUAAGUGUAAGAGUCUUGGAGGUAGAGCACUGAUUGGACUAGGGGUCCUCAUCGGAUUACCGAAUUCAGUCAAACUCCGAAUGCCAAUGACUUAUCCUUAGGAGUCAGACUGCGAGUGAUAAGAUCCGUAGUCAAAAGGGAAACAGCCCAGACCGCCAGCUAAGGUCCCAAAGUGUGUAUUAAGUGGAAAAGGAUGUGGAGUUGCUUAGACAACUAGGAUGUUGGCUUAGAAGCAGCCACCAUUUAAAGAGUGCGUAAUAGCUCACUAGUCGAGUGACUCUGCGCCGAAAAUGUACCGGGGCUAAAUACACCACCGAAGCUGCGGAUUGAUACCAAUGGUAUCAGUGGUAGGGGAGCGUUCUAAGGACAGUGAAGUCAGACCGUAAGGACUGGUGGAGUGCUUAGAAGUGAGAAUGCCGGUAUGAGUAGCGAAAGACGGGUGAGAAUCCCGUCCACCGAAUGCCUAAGGUUUCCUGAGGAAGGCUCGUCCGCUCAGGGUUAGUCAGGACCUAAGCCGAGGCCGACAGGCGUAGGCGAUGGACAACAGGUUGAUAUUCCUGUACCACCUCUUUAUCGUUUGAGCAAUGGAGGGACGCAGAAGGAUAGAAGAAGCGUGCGAUUGGUUGUGCACGUCCAAGCAGUUAGGCUGAUAAGUAGGCAAAUCCGCUUAUCGUGAAGGCUGAGCUGUGAUGGGGAAGCUCCUUAUGGAGCGAAGUCUUUGAUUCCCCGCUGCCAAGAAAAGCUUCUAGCGAGAUAAAAGGUGCCUGUACCGCAAACCGACACAGGUAGGCGAGGAGAGAAUCCUAAGGUGUGCGAGAGAACUCUGGUUAAGGAACUCGGCAAAAUGACCCCGUAACUUCGGGAGAAGGGGUGCUUUCUUAACGGAAAGCCGCAGUGAAUAGGCCCAAGCGACUGUUUAGCAAAAACACAGCUCUCUGCGAAGCCGUAAGGCGAAGUAUAGGGGGUGACACCUGCCCGGUGCUGGAAGGUUAAGGAGAGGGGUUAGCGUAAGCGAAGCUCUGAACUGAAGCCCCAGUAAACGGCGGCCGUAACUAUAACGGUCCUAAGGUAGCGAAAUUCCUUGUCGGGUAAGUUCCGACCCGCACGAAAGGUGUAACGAUUUGGGCACUGUCUCAACCAGAGACUCGGUGAAAUUAUAGUACCUGUGAAGAUGCAGGUUACCCGCGACAGGACGGAAAGACCCCGUGGAGCUUUACUGUAGCCUGAUAUUGAAUUUUGGUACAGUUUGUACAGGAUAGGCGGGAGCCAUUGAAACCGGAGCGCUAGCUUCGGUGGAGGCGCUGGUGGGAUACCGCCCUGACUGUAUUGAAAUUCUAACCUACGGGUCUUAUCGACCCGGGAGACAGUGUCAGGUGGGCAGUUUGACUGGGGCGGUCGCCUCCUAAAGUGUAACGGAGGCGCCCAAAGGUUCCCUCAGAAUGGUUGGAAAUCAUUCGUAGAGUGCAAAGGCAUAAGGGAGCUUGACUGCGAGACCUACAAGUCGAGCAGGGACAGGGACGAAAGUCGGGCUUAGUGAUCCGGUGGUUCCGCAUGGAAGGGCCAUCGCUCAACGGAUAAAAGCUACCCCGGGGAUAACAGGCUUAUCUCCCCCAAGAGUCCACAUCGACGGGGAGGUUUGGCACCUCGAUGUCGGCUCAUCGCAUCCUGGGGCUGUAGUCGGUCCCAAGGGUUGGGCUGUUCGCCCAUUAAAGCGGUACGCGAGCUGGGUUCAGAACGUCGUGAGACAGUUCGGUCCCUAUCCGUCGUGGGCGUAGGAAAUUUGAGAGGAGCUGUCCUUAGUACGAGAGGACCGGGAUGGACGCACCGCUGGUGUACCAGUUGUUCUGCCAAGGGCAUAGCUGGGUAGCUAUGUGCGGAAGGGAUAAGUGCUGAAAGCAUCUAAGCAUGAAGCCCCCCUCAAGAUGAGAUUUCCCAUAGCGUAAGCUAGUAAGAUCCCUGAAAGAUGAUCAGGUUGAUAGGUUCGAGGUGGAAGCAUGGUGACAUGUGGAGCUGACGAAUACUAAUAGAUCGAGGACUUAACCAU
Molecule: ribosomal RNA, 2928 nt
Filed under: Bacillus cereus
Lineage: Bacteria; Bacillati; Bacillota; Bacilli; Caryophanales; Bacillaceae
Description: 23S ribosomal RNA
Rfam family: Bacterial large subunit ribosomal RNA
Source: RNAcentral